RNAcentral lists this ribosomal RNA (453 nucleotides) under rape rhizosphere bacterium m9016. RNAcentral describes it as "bacterial SSU rRNA". It matches the Rfam family "Bacterial small subunit ribosomal RNA", at positions 27 to 477 of the family's 1533-position model. The record is from RNAcentral.
GAUUGAACGCUGGCGGCAUGCCUUACACAUGCAAGUCGAACGGUAACAGGUCUUCGGAUGCUGACGAGUGGCGAACGGGUGAGUAAUACAUCGGAACGUGCCCGAUCGUGGGGGAUAACGGAGCGAAAGCUUUGCUAAUACCGCAUACGAUCUACGGAUGAAAGCAGGGGACCGCAAGGCCUUGCGCGGACGGAGCGGCCGAUGGCAGAUUAGGUAGUUGGUGGGAUAAAAGCUUACCAAGCCGACGAUCUGUAGCUGGUCUGAGAGGACGACCAGCCACACUGGGACUGAGACACGGCCCAGACUCCUACGGGAGGCAGCAGUGGGGAAUUUUGGACAAUGGGCGAAAGCCUGAUCCAGCCAUGCCGCGUGCAGGAUGAAAGCCUUCGGGUUGUAAACUGCUUUUGUACGGAACGAAAAGACUCCUUCUAAUACNNGGGGUCCAUGACGGUA